UACGAGUGCCUCGAGCGUUAUCCGGAAUCAUUGGGCGUAAAGGGUGCGUAGGCGGCGAUGUUAGUCUCUCGUAAAAUCUUUCGGCUCAACCGAGAGUCCGCGGGAGAAACGGCAUUGCUAGAGGAUGGUAGGGGUCUCUGGAACUCAUGGUGUAGCGGUGAAAUGCGUUGAUAUCAUGGGGAACACCAAAAGCGAAGGCAAGAGACUGGACCACUCCUGACGCUGAAGCACGAAAGCGUGGGUCGCGAAUGGG
This 253-nucleotide ribosomal RNA is filed under the name uncultured bacterium. RNAcentral's name for it is "partial 16S ribosomal RNA". It matches the Rfam family "Bacterial small subunit ribosomal RNA", at positions 524 to 776 of the family's 1533-position model. The record is from RNAcentral.